GGCUUAACUGUGAGGCUGACGGGCCGAGCAGAUACGAAAGUAGGGCUUAGUGAUCCGGUGGCGCUGAGUGGAAGGGCCAUCGCUCAACGGAUAAAAGGUACGCCGGGGAUAACAGGCUUAUCGCGUCCAAGAGUUCACAUCGACGACGCGGUUUGGCACCUCGAUGUCGACUCAUCGCAUCCUGGGGCUGAAGUAGGUCCCAAGGGUUCGGCUGUUCGCCGAUUAAAGCGGUACGAGAGUUGGGUUCAGAACGUCGUGAGACAGUUCGGUCCCUAUCUGUUGUGGGCGGAGGAGACUUGAGGGGAGCUGUCCUUAGUACGAGAGGACCGGGAUGGACAGACCUCUAGUGUUCCGGUUGUCAUGCCAAUGGCAAUGCCGGGUAGCUAUGUCAGGAAGGGAUAAACGCUGAAGGCAUCUAAGUGUGAAGCCCACCCCAAGAUUAGGUCUCCCUCCCGAGUAAUCGGGACUAAAGGUCUGUGGUAGACCACCACUUUGAUAGGCUGGAAGUGUAAGUGCAGUAAUGCAUUCAGCUGACCAGUACUAAUAGACCGUGAGGCUUGACCCU
Molecule: ribosomal RNA, 565 nt
Filed under: Nitrospirota bacterium
Lineage: Bacteria; Pseudomonadati; Nitrospirota
Description: Nitrospirae bacterium (groundwater metagenome) partial 23S ribosomal RNA
Rfam family: Bacterial large subunit ribosomal RNA
Source: RNAcentral